Molecule: long non-coding RNA, 372 nt
Organism: Acromyrmex echinatior (Panamanian leafcutter ant)
Lineage: Eukaryota; Metazoa; Arthropoda; Insecta; Hymenoptera; Formicidae
Source: RefSeq, a predicted model, not a curated record
GCUAACUGUUCCGUGUAUCGUCGUGCAUUACCUCUUGAAACGUGGUCUCGACAAGUGUUAGAAGAUAUACAUCGUAAUAAUACUUCACGCUUAUUAGAGCAAACAGGGAGAUGACGACAGGGAACGAGCGAGAGAGAGAGAAAGAUAGAGAGAGAGAGAGAGAGAGAGAGAGAGAGAGAGUGAGAAAGACGAUAAAUAAGGAUGACGAUUCAACUUCGUCGUUGUCGUUAGACGUCAAUGAUGGCAACGACGACGAUGGUACUGGACGACGGCAACUGACGACGACGACGCCGAGCGAUGCCGAUAAGACAUGCGAUUUAAAUUAGAUUUAAAAGAGAUCGAAGAUUUCAUCAAAUAAUAAAUCGUCAUCCA